GCUGAUUUCCAAAUAUCUAAGAUAUUUGAAGCUUUCUCUGCCAUAUCUAAAAUAAAAAUCGACCAUCUGUAUUCCAUUAUCACCACAAAAAUGCAGUGAACGAUCUCUCUAGAAUAUAGACAUUGCUACAGUAGAAACGUUUAAAAACGAAUGAUUUGCUUUAGCUUAGUUAAAGAAAAUAAUUUUUUUUUUUUUUUAAUCCUUAUAUGGUACAACCAUGUGUAAAAUUGAAACUUUUUUAAACUAUUAAAUUGUAAAUAAAGCUCUCUUCUACUUAAAGUCGGCUACUUGUUCCAUCAAUCGUCCUCAACAAGCUGCAUAGGUAAUUCUCUUCCUAAUCUGUUUUCAACUUUUUUUGGAAAGACGCUUAUUCUACUGAUUAAAAAAGGCUUACUGUUGUGAUUUUUGUGUGUAUUUUGGCUGAUUUGUUGGUCAGAGUUUCCAUUAGAAUCCUUCUUAAGUAUUUGGGAUGUUGGGAUCUUUCGUUUUGAUGAUAUGUUGGAUUAUAUUAUGAUUCAGUUUCUGCUAUAACUUGAUUUGAAUGUUGUAUCUGGUCCAAUAGAAGGCUGUUGAUGGUAUAGAAGAGGUCCACAACAUCUUGCAGAGCCAAAAAUAAGUAAAUAAUGUGAUGAACAUGUAGUUUGUUUGCUGGAGAGCUGAACAAAUCCGAACUUGUGAGCUAAAUCAAGCCACGGACAUUUGUAUGGCUAUAAAUUAUCAAAUUAAUGGUAAAAUAGUAAAUCUAAAGUUAAUUUGUUUUGAAUAAUUGUGGUUUAUCAGCUAUUGCACAGGAACGGGUUUUACCCCGUGCGCUACCCAAGGGUAGUGGCUGAGGGUUCCCUCCAAUAAAAGAAAAAAAAAGUACAGUGUCCUACUGGUGAGGUAUUGGUCUGGGUUUCCAUUAUGAAUCCAUCUGAAGGAGCUAAGAGAAUCUUGUUUAUUCUCUUUCGUUAUGUAAAUUUAGGUAGUUGUGUGUCUUUAUUAUUAUGAAGCAGGAGUUAUCCAUCUCUGUUGGGAUAAAAUUGCUUCAUAAAGCUUGUCCAUAUUGCAAAAUGAUUUUAUCUGAGUCUUCAAAUCUAUACUCAACAGAGAGCAAGAGCCUGUUUACUCUAUUUUAAAAAAAAAUAAAAAAAAAUGAAAGACUUUACUGGCAAUGACGUAUUUAUUAUAUAUAUAUAUAUAUAAUUUUUUUAUUUUUACUAUAUAGAAAUGUGAAGAAAGGAACGACCAAGGGCAAUAUAGUAAAUUCGCAUCUAACAAAUAUCCUACCUCUCUGGCUAUGGAACCAUCCAUCUUUCUCAUUCUCGGUCCACACAAACAAUGGAUAUCCUAUUUUACUUUUCUCCAUACAUCUAGACUAGAAGAACCAGCUUUUACUUUCUCAAAUUGAAAAAAUUAUAUUGAUUUUUGAAGUGGUGUUCAGGUUAUUUUGUGGAUUUCAAGAAGAUGAAUCUUUUGAUGGAUUUAUCAACACUAUAUUCCUGAGUGUUUGAAAAAAUAGUGUUUUCCCAUCUGGGUUUAGAUUUCAUAGAAGAAGAGCUUGUUCUAUACUACUACAAAAAGAAGAUCUGUAGAGGCAGGAUUUAUCUUGAUGCUAUCGCCGAGACUGACGUGUACAAGUGGGAGAUAGAGGAUUUGACUCGUAUGAAUUCUUAGAUUUUGUUAUGAAUUCUUAGAUUUUGUUAGAGUUUUUGAAAAAUGAGAUUUUGAUGAGUUUUUUGUGUUGUUGACUUGAUUUGAUCAUUUGGGGGCUGGGUUCUUUACUUCUGAUGUUGUGAUUUAUCUUGUAGCUGUAUUGGUAUUUUUUUUUUUACCUCAAGGUGACUUGGUAAGGUAAAGAUAAUUUGUAAGUUAACUUACCUAUCUUUUUUUCAAAAUUUGGUAGCAUCAUAAUACGUGGCUGCCAUUUUGGAGAAAUGAGCAGCAGAUAGAGUUUGUUGUCAAUAGUGCUAUAUUUUAAGAUAGACCCGAUCACCCUCUUGAAAUGUCCUAUCAGUUAUGUGGAUGUUGUCAUACGCCUCCUUCGAUGUUCUGAUCUCAUUGAAUGGAACUUAAUAAAAUAGAGCAUCACCUGCCUUAUUUGAAAUCUCUUAUAGAGUUGCUCCUCUACUACAUCACCUAAAAUAUAGAGCAAGUGUAUGCGAUGGGAUUGAUCAUGGAAGGCCUCAAAGCAUGUGGUCUAUAUAAAUGAAUAAUGGAGUGGUGCUAUACCAUCCAUCCAGCUAGGGGGAAAUAAAGAAAUCCGUCAGUAGGUGAGUUUGAGCAGGAACAUCUAAGUAAUGACUAUAUCUCUAUUGAUCACCUCUUUUUGACCCUUCUACUAGGGGUGGUAUGCAGUUGAUGGUGCAAGAUUUGAAAAUGAGAAGAGAUGUACCAGUUGUGUGUUUUGUGUAAUUACAUUGCUGCUUUAAGAUCUGAAAUGCUGCAUUUGUUAGCUCCACGGACUGCUCCAAUACUAUUUUGAAGUUUUCAGUAUUCUGAUAGUUGAUUUGUUGUGUGCUAAGUGUUAUUUAUGUUUGAAGGAGUGUCUAAUGGAAUUUGUGGUUAUAGUUAGUGGUAGGCUGCACUCUGUAGCAGUGAUAUUUCUGCGCAUAGUGGGAGUUUUAGUGCACAGGGUUGUCCUUUCAUCAAUUAAAAGCAGAAAGAGAAAUAAACCGAAACUUACCAAACAGUCCCACCAGAAAAAUAAACAGGAAAAUAGUGAGAAUUGUUCAGAUGAAGAGUUCUAGCAGGGAGACGUACUAUGAGUAUUCUUAGUGCGUCUAGAGGGAUGAAGUGGUCAUAGCUGUGAAUUUCCUUUUCCUAGGUUGGUUUUGCAUUCUCUUAAGUCUGUCACAUUAGUUGCAUGAAUCCUGGUUUUUUCAUUAUCACGAGUUCUCGCGGCGGAAAUUAGGAUGUUGCGUUGGAUGUGUGGUCUUACAAGGGCUGACAGAGUUAGGAAUGAGAUUAUUCGGGAGAAGGUGGGAGUGGUAUCGGUGGAGGAAAAAAUGCGGGAAGUGAGGUUGAGAUGGUUUGGUCAUGUGACGAGGAGGGGCACGGAUGCCCCAGUUCGUAGGUGUGAGAGACUAGCGUUAGAUGGUUUCAAGCGGGGUAGGGGUAGACCGAAGAAAUACCGGAGAGAAGUGAUUAGACGUGACAUGGAGUAGUUACAUCUCACUGAGGACAUGACCCUGGAUAGGAAGGUUUGGAGGAAAAAUACUAGGAUAGAGGGAUAAGGUGGGGGAUGAAUCGUAUUCCGUAGUUAGGAGGGUUUUGGUGUCUUUUGUUUGGUAAUGUAUAUUAUUUUUGUGGAUGUUGUAUCUAUGUUAGUUUUAUCAUGUUUCAUGCUUUGAAUAUUUUUGUAUAUUGUCCUGUGUCUUGAGCUGGGGGUCUAUCGGAAACAGCCUCUCUACUUCUUUAGAGGUAGUGGUAUGGACUGCGUAUAUUCUACCCUCCCCAAACCCCACUAGAUGGGAAUAUACUGGGUUUUUUGUUGUUAUUGUUGUUGAGUUCUCGUGGCGAUUGCAUGAUUCUAUACAUUUCUCCUGAUAGUUAGCAGGAUGGUGCAAGUAGAUAGAGUUUGUUAAAAUAGUUGUGCUUUUUAAACAUAGGGUUGGCAAUUAGAUAGAUGUCUCUAGAAUGUGGCAGAGAAGAAAAAAGGGUAGUACCAAUGAUAUAGGUGCAAUGAAGAGAGUUUCUGUAUCAUGUGAAUAGUUGAUUCAGGAGUCAUCAAGAGUCAUGGUGUUUCUUUUGGUCUUAUACCUCUAACAAAGAAAGAUAUUAUUGGAGGUUUAGAUUUAUCCUCUUGAUAAAAAAUUAACAAAAAGGAUGGAGGCUGAGAUUUAUCCUUAGUUUCAGCUUACUCGAGGACAUGACCUUUAAUAGGAGGUUGUGCAGGCAAAAAAUAACAAAAAGGAUGGAGGUUGAGAUUUAUGCCUUAUUUCAGCUUUCUCGAGGACAUGACCUUUGAUAGGAGGUUGUGGAGGAAAUUGAUUAGAGUGAGGUUAGUAGGUAGUAGAGUGGUGUCUCACUUAUCUUUCUAUGUAGUUGUAAUAUUACUAAUGGAGUUUCUGGUUGUGUUUUAUUGCACUUUGAUUAUCGUGUUGUUACUAUUAUUUUUUUUAGCCAAGGGUCUGCAUGCAGUCUAUCCUCCCUAGAUUUCACUUAUGGUAUUAUUAGUUAUUUGGUAGGAUUAACGACUUCGAACUUUCAUCUGACAUUGAGGACCGCUAUCAGCAAGGAUAGCUUUUGUUUUACAAGGCUAGGGCACCCUUAAUAUGAUACCAAAGGGUUCCCUUAAUCAGAUAAGAGAAUUAAAGGAACUAUUUCUCCACUGCUUCAGAUCAUUUUCCACUCCAAGCGAUUGGGGUACCACCUCUUUCACCUACAAUGACGGGGAAAUGUUGCCUAAUUGUUGAGUUAGAUGAUGAUAAACUUUCUACGAGUGAAGUCCUCCAUUAAGUGUAAUUGAAUAAAGCAACAGUCGUGAUAGAGUGCAAAGAAGAGGGCUAUUUAGCUAUGAUUCUUCGUGGAGAUGGAGCAAACAGUAUAAAAGUUGGAGAGUUAAUUUCCAUUACAGUUGAAGGAAGAUUGUAUUGCAAAAUUUAGUGAUUUACCUACGUUCAAGUUAGAUGCUAUGUCUUCAAAUUUGAUUGGCCUUCUAUCACGAAAGGGAGAAAAAGAUGGAUGGAGGAAAGGAGAGGAAGAAGAAGGGUAUGAAUUUUGUUCUCUCUUCGGUGUUGGUAGUUCUAGUUUUAAUGGUGGAAAGAUAAGAGGAGGGAUCGUCUUUAUGGAAUACGGAAAGAUAACAUGAAGUGACGUGGGUUGAAAAUAAUGAGGUCUCAGGUUCACAUCCUAGGAGAGACAAACACACUACGCAAUUUCUUCCAUCUGUCCAAGCUUCAGAUAGAGUUACCUAUCACCUAUGAUGGUGGGAGGUAGAAACUACCUUGUGAAAUUAUUUGAGGUACGUGCAAGCUGGUCUGGCUAACACAGUUAUUAGGAAAAGAUGAACGGGGAGUGUAGUUGGAAAAAAUCGGACUUUUUCCCUCUUUUUGUAUAAAAAAUUCUUCUUUUUUUUUUGGUGGGAUUUUUUGGGUUUAAGAGGCAUGUGUCUUUCUUCCGUUGGCUUCUUUGCCAUCUCUUUGCGUGUAAAGUGCACAAAUUCAGUUACCCUUCACUCACCAAAAAAAAAAGAAAAAGUGCACACAUUCUAUUUUCUUGAUUGUUUCAGUAACGUGCUGCACAAUUUGAGCACAAGUAGUUCAUAGAUGGCUUGACGAAAAAUCCGGAGAAGUUUAAGUGUUGUCAAUGUAUUCAACCUUUACAUUAAGCAUUUUAACAUCUUCCUCCUCGGAUUCUUCUCUGUAAUGACGGCACCCCAAGCGGAUCUCCAUGUGAAAACACACUUUUCCUUUGGUGUUUUCUCAAUACAUCAUUUUCAAUUGUCAUCUGUGCUACUUUGUUUAUGUUUGAAUGACUCUUGGUUUUCUCAUUGGAUCUACCUAACGAAACUCUCUAUGCAAAGAAAGAAAUCUUUGGAGAUAAUUUGUUUUAAGGAAAAGGAACUUUGUAAUGCCUCAAAUAUGUUCAAAGCAUGUGGUGGCAUGUUUCGUGCAUCUACUACUCAAAAUUCUAUUAGUACUUUUUUCUCUUAUCUCAUAAUUCUUUUAUCUGCUGGUGAUAGCACCUCUUUACCUAAACUUGAGUAUGAUGUCUUGAAUGCUUGGUGGAAUAUCAACCCUCGGGGUUCAGCUCAAGAAAAAUGGAUUAAUGUUAUUGACGUGAGGUUGAUCGUAGUGGCGAACCAUUUGAAAUCCGAGGUUCGGAAGUUACCUGAAGAACUGCAUUUCUACAAGUGUCAAUAUGAGACCCAAGUGGUGAGUCAAAUACUACUCAGUUCAUCAAAGAUGGUGACACUAUUGUUUCCUCUGAUGGAACGUUUGAGUUGGGAUUUUUCAGUCCGGGAGAUGCUUCAAAUUGAUAUGUUGGAAUAUGGUACAAGAAAACUUCUGUUACUACACCUGUUUGGGUUGCUAAUAGGCUGGUUCCACUUACUGAUAAAUCGGGAGUCUUGAAAGUUAUCCAGCCAGGCAUCGUUUGUGUAUGGGUUAUGUUAAUCUGGACAUACGCAAUGGAGGAAGCGGGUGCUUGCUAUGGAUCGGGGAGCUGGUUGACAUCAGACAACUAUCUUCAUCAGGACACGAUAUCUACGUUAGGAUGUCCACUUCAGAUAUCGGUAUUGGUAUUUUCCGGAGAGACCGGUUGUGGAAAGACUACACAACUCCCUCAAUCUAUUCUACAAGAGGAGAUAUCAUUCCUUCAUGGUGCAGACUGUAACAUCAUAUGCACUCAGCCUCGCCGUAUAUCAGCAAUAUCAGUUGCCGCUCGAAUAUGCUCUGAAAAAGGGGAGGAUCUCGGUGAUACUGUUGGAUACCAGAUCCCAGUGCAAUCAAAGCGAUAUCAUACGUAAAUGUGAGCAUUCGGCAGUAUAUUAUUUUCAGGAUUGUAUAAAACAUACAUUUGAACUCAUUUUCAUCAACUGAUCCAAUCAAACAGAAUAGUCCCUUGCUGUUACGUGUUUA
This is a long non-coding RNA of Capsicum annuum, 6563 nucleotides long. RefSeq lists it as uncharacterized. The transcript has 5 exons. NCBI's taxonomy places the organism in Eukaryota, Viridiplantae, Streptophyta, Magnoliopsida, Solanales, Solanaceae. The record is from RefSeq and is a predicted model, not a curated record.